AACGACUCUCGGCAACGGAUAUCUCGGCUCUCGCAUCGAUGAAGAACGUAGCUAAAUGCGAUACUUGGUGUGAAUUGCAGAAUCCCGUGAACCAUCGAGUCUUUGAACGCAAGUUGCGCCCGAAGCCUUCGGGCCAAGGGCACGCCUGCCUGGGCGUCACGCA
RNAcentral lists this ribosomal RNA (163 nucleotides) under Koenigia islandica. Its description in RNAcentral is "5.8S ribosomal RNA". It matches the Rfam family "5.8S ribosomal RNA". From Rfam's summary of the family: 5.8S ribosomal RNA (5.8S rRNA) is a component of the large subunit of the eukaryotic ribosome. It is transcribed by RNA polymerase I as part of the 45S precursor that also contains 18S and 28S rRNA. The record is from RNAcentral. Lineage: Eukaryota; Viridiplantae; Streptophyta; Magnoliopsida; Caryophyllales; Polygonaceae.